This 213-nucleotide unclassified non-coding RNA is filed under the name Hevea brasiliensis (rubber tree). The record is from RNAcentral. Lineage: Eukaryota; Viridiplantae; Streptophyta; Magnoliopsida; Malpighiales; Euphorbiaceae.
GCUCAAAUUUCUAUUACAUAUUAGGCAAGAACAACAACACCUGAAAAUUCCCAAAUAAAGCUCUGAGAGGAUUACUAAGAGAAACUAACAAAAUGCAGAAAAAGUCAUAUUUCACAAUCCUACAAGUGGUGGCAAAGCUUAAAACAAAGAAGGGCAUUGAAAAUAUAAUAAAAAUGUUAAACACACCCCUCCAGCUUCAUCUUUGGGUAAAUC